This 68-nucleotide microRNA precursor is filed under the name Dipodomys ordii (Ord's kangaroo rat). Its description in RNAcentral is "mir-486 microRNA precursor family". It matches the Rfam family "mir-486 microRNA precursor family". Lineage: Eukaryota; Metazoa; Chordata; Mammalia; Rodentia; Heteromyidae. The record is from Rfam by way of RNAcentral.
GGAUCCUGUACUGAGCUGCCCUGAGGCUCUUCUUUGUGUCCAACUCGGGGCAACUCAGUACAGGAUGC